Non-coding RNA from Pseudozyma flocculosa PF-1, 95 nucleotides. NCBI's taxonomy places the organism in Eukaryota, Fungi, Basidiomycota, Ustilaginomycetes, Ustilaginales, Ustilaginaceae. The record is from Rfam.
GGGGGUUUAGCUCAGUUGGCAGAGCGUUCGCUUAGCAUGGCCAAUUGUGGUGUAUGAUCUGCGAAAGGUCGCGUGUUCGACUCAUGCAGUCUCCA